Leopardus geoffroyi (Geoffroy's cat) is the source of this 1800-nucleotide long non-coding RNA. RefSeq lists it as uncharacterized. The transcript has 3 exons. The record is from RefSeq and is a predicted model, not a curated record. NCBI's taxonomy places the organism in Eukaryota, Metazoa, Chordata, Mammalia, Carnivora, Felidae.
CUCCUCCUCCUCCUCCUCCCGCCGCUCCCGCUAGCCCAGCCGGGCCACGCGGGGGCGGGGGCCAGGGGGCGUCUCCCCGGCCGGCAGGAGCCGCUCGGCCCCCGGGGGGCUGCUCAGCGCCGGGGUGAGCCGGGGAGCUCUGCCCUUGGACCCUGAGCGCGGCCAGGGGAGAGGGAGCGCGGCGCGCGCCAACCGCCACCUUGCGCCCUCACGGUCCCCGGCCCGGCUCUCCGCAGCGCAGCGCAGCGCAACCGCGUGAGGCGGCGAGACGCACUCCAGCCAGCCGCCGGCCGCCGCGCUCGCGCCUCUGCCCGGAGCUCUGCCGACUCGGGGUUGUCCCCGGGGACCGCGCGCGCGACCUCGCGCGCUCCUGCCAAGCGGGCCGGACUGAGCGCGCCCCGGGGCGUCCGCGCGCAUCGCCAGGGCGAAGUGAGUGGGGCUUGGCACCUUCCGGCGUCUGGAGCCCGGCCAGCGCCACUCUCGUCCGAAGGGCCCGACCCGGCGGGGGAAAAGUCCGGAAGCUCCCCCACUUCGGUGGGACGUCUAACCUCCGGUCUUACAUGACCAGGCCCGAGGGCUCUCCACACUGGCAGUUCCGGCUGCUGAUUUCAGGGGUCUCCGGAAGCAGCCAGUGGGACCGCCGUGGUUUCUCUUCUUUUUUCCCGCUACGAUCCCGGGAGCGCAAAGACAAAACCAUGUAUAUGUUGUAUUCUUGUUAUGUAUUGGCGAGAUCUCAGUAGAAAUGUAAAGGAUGAAAAGGAGAGAGUUCGCUGACAUCGCGCCGCCACCAUCACUGCCUGUGUAGUUCCGUUCGCUGUCCCGGCGCCCGUGUGCGCCAGUUCACCUGCACACGCCCGCUCACAGCUGAGGCCGCGGGCAUCUGCGCUGAGGAGCCACGCUCAAGGUGCAGCUUAAUGUCCUGGCCCGCGAGUUGGAGGUCUGGGGAGGCACCCGGUGCCACAGAAACAUCUACAAGCUGGGCAGAGCUCGUGGAGAGUGGUUAUCCAGAAGAUCCUUACCGUGCGUUGGGCGCACUAGCUUUCCAAAUCCUGACAUUGGCCGCCCGGAGGAAGCAAAGAAAAAGCAUCCCUUGGGUGCCUUGGAAGCCAGAGCGAAGGCCAGAGUGUCCCGUGGCCUGGAAAGAAGUUUGCUGGGGGUCUCAAAGCCCACGCGUCCUCCUCCCACAGCCACGUGAAGGAACAUUCUGGGGAUGCGUUCUCUGGAACGUGGCAACUAACGGAAUUCCCUGAAAAAUGGUUUCUUCUCUCCCCAGACUGAAGAAUGACAGAGAUCCCCAGCUGGGGUUGCAGCCAUUUAAGAAACUGUAGCACUCUUGCUUUUGUGCCCUCCCCAGCCCCACCCCGCCAGGGAGCGCUUCACCGUUACCAAAGUGAGAAAAAAGGCUGGAUUAAAAAACUGAGGCUCAAAGAAGUUCAGCCACCUGACCAGCUAUUAAGUGGUGUUGCUGUAGAUCGAACCCCAGUCUUCAUCACCCCUGGGAUCGGACUUUUAACUACUCUGUAUGGCGGCAUGGUGCAUCUUGGUAUUAUGGGCUUUUGAGACCAGAAGUUUCUCUGCUAAAUCCUGGCUGGAUAUCUCUGAUAUCUGUCUCCAAUCUCUCUCUCUUUCAUCUCCCAUCUCUCCACAUGACCUGGAUUCUCUUUUCCAUCCCCCUGAGGUGAGCUUUCUCCAUAUGCUGACCCUUUUCUCAGAGCUAUAGCAUGAUCUUUUACUUGAACUCCUUGGAAUCCCUGGAUAUGCUUCCAAACAAUCAUAAAAUAAAAUCCUGUGCUGGCUUCA